CGGCAGGCCUAACACAUGCAAGUCGAGGGGUAACGAUGUCUUCGGACAGUCGACGACCGGCGCACGGGUGAGUAUCGCGUUUGUAACCUACCUUUAACUGGAGAAUAGCCCGAAGAAAUUCGGAUUAAUACUCCAUAAUACUAUGAACUGGCAUCUUUUUAUAGUUAAAGCUCCGGCGGUUAAAGAUGGGCAUGCGUGACAUUAGUUAGUUGGUGAGGUAACGGCUCACCAAGACUACGAUGUCUAGGGGGUCUGAGAGGAUGGUCCCCCACACUGGUACUGAGACACGGACCAGACUCCUACGGGAGGCAGCAGUGAGGAAUAUUGGUCAAUGGGCGCAAGCCUGAACCAGCCAUGCCGCGUGAAGGAUGACAGCGCUACGCGUUGUAAACUUCUUUUGUACAGGAAGAAACACUUCUACGUGUAGAAGCUUGACGGUACUGUACGAAUAAGCAUCGGCUAACUCCGUGCCAGCAGCCGCGGUAAUACGGAGGAUGCAAGCGUUAUCCGGAUUUAUUGGGUUUAAAGGGUACGUAGGCGGAAAAUUAAGUCAGUAGUGAAAUCCUGCAGCUUAACUGUAGAACUGUUAUUGAUACUGGUUUUCUUGAAUAUAGUUGAGGUAGGCGGAAUGUGUAAUGUAGCGGUGAAAUGCUUAGAUAUUACACAGAACACCGAUUGCGAAGGCAGCUUACUAAGCUAU
RNAcentral lists this ribosomal RNA (700 nucleotides) under uncultured bacterium. RNAcentral describes it as "bacterial SSU rRNA". It matches the Rfam family "Bacterial small subunit ribosomal RNA", at positions 40 to 737 of the family's 1533-position model. The record is from RNAcentral.